Molecule: ribosomal RNA, 459 nt
Filed under: uncultured bacterium
Lineage: Bacteria
Description: partial 16S ribosomal RNA
Rfam family: Bacterial small subunit ribosomal RNA
Source: RNAcentral
CCUACGGGGGGCAGCAGUGAGGAAUAUUGGUCAAUGGGCGAGAGCCUGAACCAGCCAAGCCGCGUGAGGGAUGAAGGUACAGAGUAUCGUAAACCUCUUUUGUCAGGGAACAAAGGCGGGGACGUGUCCCCGGAUGAGUGUACCUGAAGAAAAAGCAUCGGCUAACUCCGUGCCAGCAGCCGCGGUAAUACGGAGGAUGCGAGCGUUAUCCGGAUUUAUUGGGUUUAAAGGGUGCGCAGGCGGUCUGUUAAGUCAGCGGUCAAAGCCCGGGGCUCAACCCCGGCCCGCCGUUGAAACUGGCAGUCUCGAGUUGGAGAGAAGUAUGCGGAAUGCGCGGUGUAGCGGUGAAAUGCAUAGAUAUCGCGCAGAACUCCGAUUGCGAAGGCAGCAUGCCGGCUCCACACUGACGCUGAGGCACGAAAGCGUGGGUAUCGAACAGGAUUAGAUACCCUUGUAGUC